CAAAAGGCCCUUUUCAGGGCCACAAAUCUUUUUUCAAAGAAUUUUA
Non-coding RNA from Drosophila mojavensis, 46 nucleotides. NCBI's taxonomy places the organism in Eukaryota, Metazoa, Arthropoda, Insecta, Diptera, Drosophilidae. The record is from Rfam.